This 406-nucleotide ribosomal RNA is filed under the name uncultured bacterium. Its description in RNAcentral is "partial 16S ribosomal RNA". It matches the Rfam family "Bacterial small subunit ribosomal RNA", at positions 30 to 526 of the family's 1533-position model. The record is from RNAcentral.
AUUGAACGCUGGCGGCAGGCCUAACACAUGCAAGUCGAGCGAGCGGCGGACGGGUGAGUAAUGUAUGGGGAUCUGCCCGAUAGAGGGGGAUAACUACUGGAAACGGUAGCUAAUACCUCAUAUCAUCAGAUGAACCCAUAUGGGAUUAGCUUGUAGGUGAGGUAACGGCUCACCUAGGCGACGAUACCUAGCUGGUCUGAGAGGAUGAUCAGCCGCACUGGGACUGAGACACGGCCCAGACGCCUACGGGAGGCAGCAGUGGGGAAUAUUGCACAAUGGUCGCAAGCCGUAUGCAGCCAUGACGCGUGUAUGAAGAAGGCCUUCGGGUUGUAAAGUACUUUCAGCGGGGAGGCGUUACUCGCAGAAGAAGCACCGGCUAACUCCGUGCCAGCAGCCGCGGUAAUUC